CUACGGGACGCUGCAGUGGGGAAUAUUGCGCAAUGGAGGCAACCCUGACGCAGCCAUGCCGCGUGCAGGAAGAAGGCCUUAUGGGUCGUAAACUGCUUUUAUUUAGGAAUAAACCCCCGAACGUGUUCGGGGCUGAAGGUACUAAACGAAUAAGCACCGGCUAACUCCGUGCCAGGAGCCGCGGUGAAUACGGAGGGUGCAAGCGUUAUCCGGAUUUAUUGGGUUUAAAGGGUGCGCAGGCGGGCUAUUAAGUCAGUGGUGAAAUCCCGGGGCUCAACUCCGGAACUGCCAUUGAUACUGAUAGUCUUGAGUUUGGUUGAAGUGGGCGGAAUGUAGCAUGUAGCGGUGAAAUGCAUAGAUAUGCUACAGAACACCAAUCGCGAAGGCAGCUCACUAAGCCAAAACUGACGCUCAUGCACGAAAGCGUGGGGAUCAAACAGGAUUAGAUACCCUCGUAGUC
RNAcentral lists this ribosomal RNA (460 nucleotides) under uncultured bacterium. RNAcentral describes it as "partial 16S ribosomal RNA". It matches the Rfam family "Bacterial small subunit ribosomal RNA", at positions 339 to 795 of the family's 1533-position model. The record is from RNAcentral.